UUUUGCACACGUCCCUAAGUUUUACGCGGAUUCAGUAUAAAAGACGAGAAUGUUAGUAGGUAUGUAACAAAGUAUUAAAAAGAACAUAGAACUUUGCUUUAAAAGAAUAUUUGCAAAGAGUACAAUGGCAUGUCCAGGAUGCAAAAGCGGCGGAGUAGCUUUUAAAUGCGACAAAUGUGGGGCUUUACAAUGUAAGAACAAGUCCUGCAAACACCACCACGCCAAGGCCGCAAGCUCAUGUGGAUCCUGCGGAAAAUCGGGCGGACAAAAAUCCGUGUAGAUCUCUUGUGCACAUCACACAUAGACAGGCAGCCCAAGUCCAAUUUUUAGCAAUUAUAAAUUAUUUCUAACGCAAAAUAAAGAAUAUUCUUGAUGU
Molecule: long non-coding RNA, 376 nt
Organism: Saccostrea cuccullata (small rock oyster)
Lineage: Eukaryota; Metazoa; Mollusca; Bivalvia; Ostreida; Ostreidae
Exons: 3
Source: RefSeq, a predicted model, not a curated record